This 67-nucleotide microRNA precursor is filed under the name Phlebotomus papatasi. Its description in RNAcentral is "mir-92 microRNA precursor family". The record is from RNAcentral. Lineage: Eukaryota; Metazoa; Arthropoda; Insecta; Diptera; Psychodidae.
CUUCCUCAGUGGGCUGGGAAAUGUUUUAUUGUGUUUUCAGAAUCAUUUCCCAGCCCACUGAGGAAGA